AAGAGAGAGACAUGCGCGCAUAUCAAUAAGCGGAGGAAAAGAAACUAACAAGGAUUCCCCUAGUAACGGCGAGUGAAGCGGGAAGAGCUCAAAUUUGAAAUCUUAAAGGGUUUCCCUUUACGAAUUGUAGUUUAAAGAAGUGUUUUCUGAUGAGGUUUUGGUAAAAGUUCUUUGGAAUAGGACAUCAUAGAGGGUGAGAAUCCCGUAUUUGACCUUUACUUUCAACUUUGUGAUACACUUUCAAAGAGUCGGAUUGUUUGGGAAUGCAGUCCAAAAUGGGUGGUAAAUUUCAUCUAAAGCUAAAUAUUGGCGAGAGACCGAUAGCGAACAAGUACCGUGAGGGAAAGAUGAAAAGAACUUUGAAAAGAGAGUUAAACAGUACGUGAAAUUGUCAAAAGGGAAGCGUUUGACACCAGUGUUGUUUUUCUGAAAAUCAAUUAAAGAACUGUUUAUGCUAAGUUGUUUAGACUUUAUCAGCUAACUGUUUAGUUUUGAGCUUUUCUUUAAUGCACUUUUCAGUUAACAAGUCAACAUCAAUUUCUUUUGCUGUAAAAAAGCUUGAGGAAGGUGGCUUGAGAUUCGUCUUAAGUGUUUAUAGCCUCUUGCCUAUGCAGUCGGAGAGAUUGAGGUCUGCAGCGUAGAUCCUUCGGGGCUAAAUGCAUUUGUGCUAAGUUAUAGCAUUUUAUAGACAACUUGUUGACUAUGAUUUGUCUUGUAGCUUACUCGCUUAUGUUAUUUUACCUACGCUUAGGAUGUUGAGCGCAUGUCUCUCUCU
Molecule: ribosomal RNA, 775 nt
Filed under: uncultured Neocallimastigales
Lineage: Eukaryota; Fungi; Neocallimastigomycota; Neocallimastigomycetes; Neocallimastigales
Description: partial large subunit ribosomal RNA
Rfam family: Eukaryotic large subunit ribosomal RNA
Source: RNAcentral